This 254-nucleotide ribosomal RNA is filed under the name uncultured bacterium. Its description in RNAcentral is "partial 16S ribosomal RNA". It matches the Rfam family "Bacterial small subunit ribosomal RNA", at positions 524 to 776 of the family's 1533-position model. The record is from RNAcentral.
UACGUAGGGUGCAAGCGUUGUCCGGAAUUAUUGGGCGUAAAGAGCUCGUAGGCGGUUUGUUGCGUCGGCUGUGAAAACCUGAGGCUCAACCUCAGGCCUGCAGUCGAUACGAGCAGACUAGAGUGUUGCAGGGGAGACUGGAAUUCCUGGUGUAGCGGUGAAAUGCGCAGAUAUCAGGAGGAACACCGGUGGCGAAGGCGGGUCUCUGGGGCAACAACUGACGCUGAGGAGCGAAAGCGUGGGGAGCGAACAGG